UACGUAGGGUGCAAGCGUUAUCCGGAAUUAUUGGGCGUAAAGAGCUCGUAGGCGGUUUGUCGCGUCUGCUGUGAAAACUGGAGGCUCAACCUCCAGCCUGCAGUGGAUACGGGCAGACUAGAGGUAGGUAGGGGAGAAUGGAAUUCCCGGUGUAGCGGUGAAAUGCGCAGAUAUCGGGAGGAACACCGGUGGCGAAGGCG
Molecule: ribosomal RNA, 200 nt
Filed under: uncultured bacterium
Lineage: Bacteria
Description: partial 16S ribosomal RNA
Rfam family: Bacterial small subunit ribosomal RNA
Source: RNAcentral